Molecule: long non-coding RNA, 2046 nt
Organism: Oreochromis niloticus (Nile tilapia)
Lineage: Eukaryota; Metazoa; Chordata; Actinopteri; Cichliformes; Cichlidae
Exons: 5
Source: RefSeq, a predicted model, not a curated record
CAGAUGUACAGGUGAGGUAACUGUUUCCUGUUCUUUCUGUUUGCUUUGACUGCAGCGAGUUAUCCGGUGAUUUCUGUCCUCAGCGUCUUUAUAUUCCACUUACAUUCAGAUAAUAUAGAUAUGAAGAGCUCGGCUUAAGGAGCGUCUGCACGGUUUCCUAUGAGGAAGCGUGUGUUAGGGUUUCCUCCAGGUCAGAGGUGGGAUGGCGGCGUUGACGUCGCAGCAGGAGUCGCCGAUCUCUGAGUCGGCAGGCAGCGCCGGCUUCUUCCUGUCCUUCUCCUCGCUGUCAGAGUCAUCCACCGUCAGCGAGAUGAGCGAGGUGGACUUGGACCUGUGAUGAGGAUGUGAAGUUUAUGCAGCUCAUCAAAACCCAACCUGACCAUCACAUGUUUGCCUGAACAAACCUUGGCAGCAAAAUUUCAGGUCCCUCAAAAUUCAGGAUGAAGCCUCCUGCAGGUCUCCAUCUGGACAUCCAGGCCUCUCUUCAUCGAACACAUCUCCAUGUACUCGUGCAGGUGGCGGUUCAUGUCGCUCUUUGCUGUGGCCAGCUCCAGCUGACGAAGACGCACAGAGAGGCAGAAUGCUGACAUUCACACUGCUGUUUCAUGGCUGCUGCUAAUUUUAAGGGGAUUAUUCUGUCUUUUCUUUUUUUAAGUUUUAGUUAUGGGUAUUUUAGCUUUUGGACAGUGAGGGGGAAAGACAUGCAGGAGAUGUGUGGGAGGCCACUGCAGCAGGGACACUUAUAGGUAUGAGAGUUGCCUCCAGCUCCCUGUCCUUCUUCCCUUAUUUAACACGUCCACAUCCACAGCUGCAGCGCCAACAACACCUGACCUUUACAUUUAUGUAACUCUCACCUCUAUCUGGUCGAUGGUGUCCUGGUAUUCCUUCUCUCUGGAUUUGAACAGAGACUCCGUGUCUUUGAUCACUUCCUCGAUGGACUCCUCCUGCAGAAAAAAAAGAAAAACCAAAAAGUCCAAGUUUGCUUCAGGUUUGACAUUUUUCAGGGUCAAAGUACAAAUUUAAAAACAAGUCACCAGUCUAAAUAUAUAAAGGUGUAGAAGAUAACAGAAAUAAUAAUAAUAAUAAUAAUAAUAAUAAUAAUGAUGAUAAUAUAAAAUAAUAAAUAUUGUUUUUCUGUUCAUGUCCUUCAAAUGUCUUCAAAGUGUGAAACUUGUGCACUUUGACAAACGGCUUCUAGGUACAAUACUGCCACCCUCUGGCACUAGCAGAUCAUUACAUGUGCAGCUAUUUAAAAAGAUAAAUAAGGGAAAAUGUGUAUUUAUAGUCACACAAACCUUAAUGACUAUUUCAAAAUCAGUACUGUCCCUACAGGAAGCCCAAAACAUUAAGCACACACAGCUUUGCAUGGGUGAGCCUCCUGUGAGUGCACAUCCAGACGUGUUUCCCUCUUUGAGAUUUAACUGGAUUAGAUUAGUUCUGCUUCUAAUAAACAGCCGGUCACAGUGUGAAGGCUGAGCACACUUUAGAACCACUGCUCUGCAUUAUUUUAAUUAUAAUUAAGCUUGAAAUCACCGACAAAUAUAUUUGAGUCAACACUGAAAUAAAGCAAACUGAAUUAAUAAAAUGAAGGGACUUGAGUUGGAUUUCCUUUAUUUAUCUGCUCUCCUUUAAACCAGAACAUAGUUGGAUUUUUUGUCACUGGAGGAGAGAGAGUUAAAAUGGAGCGUUGGCUCUCAGGAGGAAAAAUGUUAAAAGGGAGAAAAAGGAUGUGGUGGAAUAGCUGGUUUUAAUUAUGAAGCUUUGAGUGAGUGAAGUGACCCUGAGGUGUCUGUAUAAAAGUCAUAAUACGAGCUGCUGGUUAAAAUACAAAGAAAAAGACUUCAGAGCUUCCUCGGAUACUUCAUCAGUUCAGAUAUACCCGACAUCAUUUUGAGUAGAAUUAUUUUUAUUAGCUUCAUUAUUAUCACUGUGACCUUCAGAUAAAUAUACUGACCUUAAAGGAGAGGUCAGAGGUCACAAUCAAAAUCUUUACACACUACUUUCUAAUUUAUAUGUUGACAAUAAACGCUACACAUGUAAGAAUCA